Molecule: ribosomal RNA, 623 nt
Filed under: uncultured fungus
Lineage: Eukaryota; Fungi
Description: eukaryotic LSU rRNA
Rfam family: Eukaryotic large subunit ribosomal RNA
Source: RNAcentral
CCCGCUGAACUUAAGCAUAUCAAUAAGCGGAGGAAAAGAAACCAACAGGGAUUGCCUUAGUAACGGCGAGUGAAGCGGCAAGAGCUCAAAUUUGAAAUCUGGCCAUCUGGUCCGAAUUGUAAUUUGUAGAGGAUGCUUCGAAUAUAGUCUUGGUCUAAGUUCCUUGGAACAGGAUGUCAUAGAGGGUGAGAAUCCCGUAUGUGACUAGGUGUCUAUGUUCAUGUGAAGCUCCUUCAACGAGUCGAGUUGUUUGGGAAUGCAGCUCAAAAUGGGUGGUAAAUUUCAUCUAAAGCUAAAUAUUGGCCAGAGACCGAUAGCGCACAAGUAGAGUGAUCGAAAGAUGAAAAGCACUUUGGAAAGAGAGUUAAAUAGUACGUGAAAUUGUUGAAAGGGAAGCGCUUGCAAUCAGACUUGCCUGCAGUUGAUCAUCCGAUGUUCUCAUCGGUGCACUCAAUUGCACUCAGGCCAGCAUCGGUUUUGGUGGUUGGAUAAAGUCUUUGGGAAUGUAGCUUCCUUCGGGGAGUGUUAUAGCCCAAGGUGAAAUGCAACCUGCUAGGACCGAGGACCGCGCUUCGGCUAGGAUGCUGGCGUAAUGGUUGUAAGCGACCCGUCUUGAAACACGG